CAAUCACUUGUCUUUUAAAUGAAGACCUGUAUGAAUGGCGAAACGAGGGCUCAACUGUCUCCCCCUUUUAAUCAGUGAAAUUGAUCUCCCCGUGCAGAAGCGGGGAUACCACCAUAAGACGAGAAGACCCUGUGGAGCUUUAGAUAUAUAAAGGGAUUAUACCAAAUUUGCCUUCUAAACAGGCUAAACUAAUUAAUAUCCUUUUUGCUGUCUUUGGUUGGGGCGACCACGGGGAAAAAUAAAACCCCCACGCGGAUAAAAAGAACCCGCUUUUACAGAGUAGAGCCUCAGCUCUACAACACAGAACUUCUGACCUUCAGAUCCGGCCAUGCCGAUCAACGGACCGAGUUACCCCAGGGAUAACAGCGCAAUCCUCUUUAAGAGCCCA
Molecule: ribosomal RNA, 388 nt
Filed under: Arcos sp. WJC5006
Lineage: Eukaryota; Metazoa; Chordata; Actinopteri; Blenniiformes; Gobiesocidae
Description: partial 16S ribosomal RNA
Rfam family: Bacterial large subunit ribosomal RNA
Source: RNAcentral